GGCUCAGAACGAACGCUGGCGGCGUGCUUAACACAUGCAAGUCGAACGAACCUUCGGGUUAGUGGCGGACGGGUGAGUAACGCGUGAGAAUCUGCCCUCAGGAGGGGGAUAACGGUUGGAAACGACCGCUAAUACCCCAUAUGCCGAGAGGUGAAAAGAAAUUCGCCUGAGGAUGAGCUCGCGUCUGAUUAGCUAGUUGGUGUGGUAAUGGCGCACCAAGGCUUCGAUCAGUAGCUGGUCUGAGAGGAUGAUCAGCCACACUGGAACUGAGACACGGACCAGACUCCUACGGGAGUCUGCAGUGGG
RNAcentral lists this ribosomal RNA (306 nucleotides) under uncultured bacterium. Its description in RNAcentral is "bacterial SSU rRNA". It matches the Rfam family "Bacterial small subunit ribosomal RNA", at positions 21 to 358 of the family's 1533-position model. The record is from RNAcentral.